UAAAUCACGGCCAGCUGUACGUCAGAUGCGAUAAUUGGACUCUAAUUUUCAUACGACGAACAUACGACGAAGAAAAAUAGUUUCACCAUGUGUGAAAAACAAGAAAUCCAGAGGGAAACAUCAAGACAUCUAAUCACCAUAAAGACCGGUGGCCAUCUCCAGAUACAGAUCAGUGAUUGGCGAGGAGGCGAUGCUUUCAGGUGUGUUGGAUUUCUAACCUGCUCCAGAUCAGCUUAUUCUCCCAGCAUCAGUUACCAGAGGCUGACAGACCCAGAGGGCCAACGUGUGAUUACAUCUCUGUGUUAUAAGCUCUUCCUCUGGCCUGCUUGGGGAUUUGCUGAAGGAGGCACAUGAAAGUUAUGAAAAGUUCUGCCUUGGUUCAAACAUGGCAGCUCUGUCAGUAAUGUACCCUACAUUCACUCUCAACCAAAGGAAAUCCUGCUUUCUCAUGCAGUCUUCCACCUGCUCUUUUCAUCUCUGCACCACAGAUUAAUAUUGCAGAGCGUGUAGCCCCUGCCCUCAUCUUCUCCCUUCUACCUCUUGUUGUUUCUGCAUCCCACCAUUCCCAGGCUCUUUCACUUCUUUGCCUCCCCCCACCGGCUCCUCUGCCUCUGUUCUCGACUUGUGGAUAUUACAUUUUCUUCCAUCCAUCCCCCCUAUUGUCGUCUGCCUCUCCGUCUCAAUCAAGAACGCCGUGAGGUUUUAUGAAUACAUCAAAAACAAUCAUGGACGAUCCGGGGAGGCAUGUAGGGAGGCAACAAGGCGAGACGAUUGCAGCUGGAACAGACGGAUGAGAAAGAGGAAGAGAGAAAGGUGGAAGAAAGAAGAGCAAAGAGAGGGAGUGAUGCAGCACUGUAGAAUUUUAAUGAGUACCAGAGGGAAUAUCUUUUUCACUUUUUUUUUUGUCUCGCUCAUUUUCCAUAUUUUUCCUUUUCAAGGGGGCACCCUGACAUGGCCUCGUAAAUUUGACUGAUAGAUGACCAUAAGGAGAAUUUUUAUUUUAUGUUUUAUGGAGUUGUGUGGAUCGCUUAAAAGCACGCAGUAUCCUACCUGCAUCAGAUAAAUCUCAGAGAAGUUUAAGUCGACAUUCUCUAUGUUCUUAAUAUUUGCAUAUCUUGCU
This is a long non-coding RNA of Poecilia latipinna (sailfin molly), 1120 nucleotides long. RefSeq lists it as uncharacterized. The transcript is spliced from 3 exons. The record is from RefSeq and is a predicted model, not a curated record. NCBI's taxonomy places the organism in Eukaryota, Metazoa, Chordata, Actinopteri, Cyprinodontiformes, Poeciliidae.